Molecule: long non-coding RNA, 468 nt
Filed under: Ananas comosus (pineapple)
Lineage: Eukaryota; Viridiplantae; Streptophyta; Magnoliopsida; Poales; Bromeliaceae
Description: long non-coding RNA (ACOM_LNC008962)
Source: RNAcentral
AGUUAUAUAGCAGUCACCCCUUAGGAAGUGACGCGUCACAGUUGCUAUCAAGGCCAAUUACAAGUCGAAAAUGUGAGAUGAGUCUCGAGUGAGGCAAGGUUAUACGGUGGGGAGAGGGUUAUACGGCUGACUUAGGGUUAUACAGCGGGGAGAGGGUUAUACAACGAGGGAAGCGAGGAUCUAAUACUAAUGGAUGUUGCGAGUAAAGCACGGCUUCCUUACAAGGUCGGUUAAUGCUAGCGAGAUGACUCUCUCAUUGCUUGAUACUUGUAAUUUUGAGCUUGACGAGGACAUCAGGGCUUAAAAGAGGAAAGAAUAUGAGAUCUCAAGUAGUCUUAUAUAUAAAAUAUAAUAAGACUUGAAACUAUUAGCAUUUUAGGUAGUGACUAAUCCCAAAAGGUUAAGAGAAUUAAACGUGUUAGGGCUAAAAUAGUGCUAGGAUGAGUGAUCCCUUGGGAACAGGGGCGU